UACAGAGGGUGCGAGCGUUAAUCGGAAUUACUGGGCGUAAAGCGUGCGUAGACGGUUAUUUAAGUCGGGUGUGAAAGCCCCGGGCUCAACCUGGGAAUUGCAUUCGAGACUGAAUAGCUAGGGUACGGUAGAGGGAAGUGGAAUUUCCGGUGUAGCGGUGAAAUGCGUAGAUAUCGGAAGGAACGUCAGUGGCGAAAGCGACUUCCUGGACCAGUACCGACGUUCAGGCACGAAAGCGUGGGGAGCAAACAGG
RNAcentral lists this ribosomal RNA (253 nucleotides) under uncultured bacterium. RNAcentral describes it as "partial 16S ribosomal RNA". It matches the Rfam family "Bacterial small subunit ribosomal RNA", at positions 524 to 776 of the family's 1533-position model. The record is from RNAcentral.